Molecule: ribosomal RNA, 456 nt
Filed under: uncultured Anaplasma sp.
Lineage: Bacteria; Pseudomonadati; Pseudomonadota; Alphaproteobacteria; Rickettsiales; Anaplasmataceae
Description: bacterial SSU rRNA
Rfam family: Bacterial small subunit ribosomal RNA
Source: RNAcentral
AUGCAUAGGAAUCUACCUAGUAGUAUGGGAUAGCCACUAGAAAUGGUGGGUAAUACUGUAUAAUCCCUGCGGGGGAAAGAUUUAUCGCUAUUAGAUGAGCCUAUGUUAGAUUAGCUAGUUGGUAGGGUAAAGGCCUACCAAGGCAGUGAUCUAUAGCUGGUCUGAGAGGAUGAUCAGCCACACUGGAACUGAGAUACGGUCCAGACUCCUACGGGAGGCAGCAGUGGGGAAUAUUGGACAAUGGGCGCAAGCCUGAUCCAGCUAUGCCGCGUGAGUGAGGAAGGCCUUAGGGUUGUAAAACUCUUUCAGUGGGGAAGAUAAUGACGGUACCCACAGAAGAAGUCCCGGCAAACUCCGUGCCAGCAGCCGCGGUAAUACGGAGGGGGCAAGCGUUGUUCGGAAUUAUUGGGCGUAAAGGGCAUGUAGGCGGUUCGGUAAGUUAAAGGUGAAAUGCCA